RNAcentral lists this ribosomal RNA (492 nucleotides) under uncultured bacterium. Its description in RNAcentral is "partial 16S ribosomal RNA". It matches the Rfam family "Bacterial small subunit ribosomal RNA", at positions 29 to 507 of the family's 1533-position model. The record is from RNAcentral.
AGUGAACGCUGGCGGUAGGCCUAACACAUGCAAGUCGGACGGCAGCACAGUAAGAGCUUGCUCUUACGGGUGGCGAGUGGCGGACGGGUGAGGAAUACAUCGGAAUCUACUUUUUCGUGGGGGAUAACGUAGGGAAACUUACGCUAAUACCGCAUACGACCUACGGGUGAAAGCAGGGGAUCUUCGGACCUUGCGCGAUUGAAUGAGCCGAUGUCGGAUUAGCUAGUUGGCGGGGUAAAGGCCCACCAGGGCGACGAUCCGUAGCUGGUCUGAGAGGAUGAUCAGCCACACUGGAACUGAGACACGGUCCAGACUCCUACGGGAGGCAGCAGUGGGGAAUAUUGGACAAUGGGCGCAAGCCUGAUCCAGCCAUACCGCGUGGGUGAAGAAGGCCUUCGGGUUGUAAAGCCCUUUUGUUGGGAAAGAAAAGCAGCAGGUUAAUACCCCGCUGUUCUGACGGUACCCAAAGAAUAAGCACCGGCUAACUUCGUG